Molecule: ribosomal RNA, 465 nt
Filed under: uncultured bacterium
Lineage: Bacteria
Description: partial 16S ribosomal RNA
Rfam family: Bacterial small subunit ribosomal RNA
Source: RNAcentral
CCUACGGGAGGCAGCAGUGGGGAAUAUUGCGCAAUGGGCGAAAGCCUGAAGCAGCGACGCCGCGUGAGGGAUGAAGGUCUUAGGAUCGUAAACCUCUGUCAGCAGGGAAGAACGGUCACUGUGCUAAUCAGCAGUUAAUUGACGGUACCUGCAAAGGAAGCACCGGCUAACUCCGUGCCCGCAGCUGCGGUAAUACGGAGGGUGCGAGCGUUAAUCGGAAUUAAUGGGAGUAAAGCGCUCGUAGGCGGUAUGUCAAGUCAAGGGGGAAAUCCCCGCGCUUAACGUGGGAACUGCCGUUGAAACUGGCAAACUGGAGUGUGUGAGAGGAUAGUGGAAUGCCAGGUGUAGGAGUGAAAUCCGUAGAUAUCUGGAGGAACAUCAGUGGCGAAGGCGACUAUCUGGCACAUAACUGACGCUGAGGAGCGAAAGCGUGGGUAGCAAACAGGAUUAGAUACCCCAGUAGUC